This 1111-nucleotide long non-coding RNA is filed under the name Sarcophilus harrisii (Tasmanian devil). Its description in RNAcentral is "lncRNA (ENSSHAG00000031581.1)". The record is from RNAcentral. Lineage: Eukaryota; Metazoa; Chordata; Mammalia; Dasyuromorphia; Dasyuridae.
UAUCACACAUUAUAAAGUUAUGCAAUUUAUUAUGAGAAUUAACAAAGGUUUGAAAGAUGAGUUCCCUGGUGGAAUACACAAUAACCAGGAGGAAGGAGCCAUUAAGAGUAAAAACACUUGCGAGGUAGAGAGUACCUCAUUGUGGGCUUAGUUCUGGAAAAGAUUCAGUCCUGAUAUGAGAUUGAGAGCUUGGAGAAGAGCCUUAGAAGUCUAGUAGUCCAAAUUAUUUUGCAGAUGAAAAAACAGGCUUAGGGACAUUGUGACACAUGGGGCAACUAGGUGUCAGUUCAUAGAGCAUUGGGCCUGGAGUCACAGAGAACUACUGCAACUCUGGUCUCAGACACUAGCCGUGUGACCCUGGGCAAGUCACUUAACCCUUUUGCCUCAGUUUCCUCAUCUGUAAGAUGAGCUGAAGAAGGAAAUAGCAAACCACUCUAGUAUUUUUGCCAAGAAAACUUCUCUUGGGGUCACGAAGAGUCAAAUAGGACUAAUGACCCAGCAACAACAAAAGUCCCAUGAGAAGUAGGCAAAAAAAGCAAGGUUUGAACCCAGCUCUAACUCCAAACCAAAUGCUCAGAUUUCUAAGAAUGAGACUAAUUAUUCUAGUCCCCCAUUUCACAAGGAAGUAAGAACAAUUUUUAGUGUUUAAUAAGGAUAGUACUAUUUGAAGAGCAUCACUCGUCUAUAACAGGGGGUGGGGAGCCUUUUUCUUGCAAAGGGCCAUUUGGAUAUAACUUCAUUUGUGGGCCAUGCAAAAUUAUCAACUCUUAGAACUCAAGCAGUGGGAAGUAGAUGUACCCAACUUUCAGCUCAUUAUCACUUGUGGAUGUCUUAGCAGAUGUUUUUGUGGGCCUUAUAAGGCCUUCGGGUUGGUCUUUCCCCACCCUGGUCUAUAUAUGGUCUAUAUAAUUGUGAAAUUGUUUGUAGUUUAAACAGAAUAGCUUAGUUGAUCUAUUUUGAGAUGUGAAAGUGUGAAAAAACCGCAAAAAUUUCUGACCUUUAUUAUCAGAUUGAACCUUGAGGCAUCCUACUAUUUUCUCAAGGAGAAUGAGGAUAAUACACUUAAUUGAAAAGAAAAUUCCUUGUGACCUUACCCUGUUCUAAAAAAAAU